CUUUGUCUUGCUCAGCUUUGUAAGGUGAGUGGAGAGAGAGGCUAGUGUCCUUGCUGGUUCUGCUUAUUUAUUCAUUUUUUUUCUCUCCUCCAGUUAGCCUGGUGAAUUUUCUCCAGCGGGGCUUCAAGCCUUGUUCCCUCUAGGUUCUUUCUGCCAUUUCCCUGCCAAUGUCUCAGGCUACUGAGGUUUUUGUCUCAUCUCCCCUUCCAGCACUGGUGUGCAGACUCUGCAGCUGGGCUUCUGAGCUGUGGGCAUCCUUGUUCUCCCUGUAGGUCCUCCGUGUCACAUCCACUAGAUCCAGAAGAGUUUCCUCUGCAAUUUUUUUUGAGCCUUUCCCUGAGACUACAAUAACUCCACUUUUAUUAAACUAUCUUUUUCCCAGACCCUCCGUGCAUGCCCUAUCAGUUUUCCUGUUCUAAAUAUUCAAAUGGUAUAACUUUAGAAAUAAAUAUAUUUACUAUACUAAUGCCUUUCCAAAAAUUUUGUAAACCUCUAUCUUCCUUUGUAUAUACUGAUAAUACUUCUGCUAUGCUACUGGAAUUUACAGCUGUGUGUAAUGCUGAAGAAUUGAAACUGUCUUGUUCAUGGCUUACAGGACUGAGCAUUGCCACUUUACUGGAAGCAAGUGACAAUAGGAUUACCAUUUAAGGCAGUAUUAGCCUCCAUCUUUGAUGCCUGACACCAUUUUACUGAUGUUGGAAGAAAAAAUAGGAAAUUUCUAACAGAAUCUGUACUCAGUUUCAUUAGCUUUGGUAUAACACUACUAAAUACAUAAUUAAUAUUUUAAGUUACAACAAUUGUAAAACAUAAAAAUAAAAAUAAUGUACCCUUAGGUUAAAUGAAUUGGGAUAAAUAAGUGCAUAUCCUCUAGCUACCUCCCCUAUAC
This is a non-coding RNA of Oryctolagus cuniculus (rabbit), 886 nucleotides long. The record is from RefSeq and is a predicted model, not a curated record. NCBI's taxonomy places the organism in Eukaryota, Metazoa, Chordata, Mammalia, Lagomorpha, Leporidae.